AAGGUCUGAACCAUUUCAUUUUGGAUUUAGUUGCUGUGAUUUUACUUUUGCAAGGUCUGAACCAUUUCAUUUUGGAUUUAGUUGCUGUGAUUUUACUUUUGCAAGGUCUGAACCAUUUCAUUUUGGAAAAGUAACUCUUCGUGUUAGAGUUAGGGUUGAUAGAGAACACGAGAACUCCAUGGAUGCCACUUAAUCGGAGGGUGGAUGUGAUUGGAAGAUGAACAUGAUCGGAAGAAAAUUACUAAAAGGGGUAAGGUCGUGAGAGAGAGUUGCGCUAGGGAGAACACGGGAUGCUCAAUCUGUGUGACGAGGUGGCGAGUGAGAAGCAAUGAGAGAACAAGGUCGUUAUGUACAACUUCAAUAAUGCUUAAGUUAAACAUCAAGGAUCAUAGUACUUAGUCCAGUUAGUGGUUAUCCAAUGAAGAGUUUGUGGUCUGCAAUGGAACUUCUUAUCUCAAACAAAUCUCGUGGUUCGUGAGUAUACAUUUCAUCACAUUUAUUGGUACAGUAACUGGUUAUGUACACAUUCCUAUGUGGUUUUAUGUGAAAGGAGUUCUGUACAAUAAUAAAAAUGGUUAACUUGAAUAUGAAUGAUCAUAUUACUUUGGUGCAGUAA
Vigna angularis (adzuki bean) is the source of this 616-nucleotide long non-coding RNA. RefSeq lists it as uncharacterized. Lineage: Eukaryota; Viridiplantae; Streptophyta; Magnoliopsida; Fabales; Fabaceae. The record is from RefSeq and is a predicted model, not a curated record. The transcript is spliced from 3 exons.